AUUGUUUCUUGGCCUUUUGCCUAAGCUCAAGUGUAGUAUCUGUUCUUAUCAGUUUAAUUAUUAAUAAUUAAUUAAUUAAUUUUGAAGUGGGCUCUAUACCCAGU
RNAcentral lists this small nuclear RNA (104 nucleotides) under Canis lupus familiaris (dog). RNAcentral describes it as "U2 spliceosomal RNA (multiple genes)". It matches the Rfam family "U2 spliceosomal RNA". From Rfam's summary of the family: U2 is a small nuclear RNA (snRNA) component of the spliceosome (involved in pre-mRNA splicing). RNAcentral also lists the same sequence under 1 other name. Lineage: Eukaryota; Metazoa; Chordata; Mammalia; Carnivora; Canidae. The record is from Rfam by way of RNAcentral.